Molecule: transfer RNA, 69 nt
Filed under: Longispora fulva
Lineage: Bacteria; Bacillati; Actinomycetota; Actinomycetes; Micromonosporales; Micromonosporaceae
Description: tRNA-Leu
Source: RNAcentral
GCCGGCGGCUCGGGCGGACAGCGGCGCCCCUAAGAAGCAGGAGCGCAGGUUCGAAUCCUGCCGGGGGCA